UACGUAGGGCGCAAGCGUUUGUCCGGAAUUAUUGGGCGUAAAGAGCUCGUAGGCGGUUUGUCGCGUCUGCUGUGAAAACCUAAGGCUCAACCUUGGGCUUGCAGUGGGUACGGGCAGACUAGAGUGCGGUAGGGGUGACUGGAAUUCCUGGUGUAGCGGUGAAAUGCGCAGAUAUCAGGAGGAACACCGAUGGCGAAGGCAGGUCUCUGGGCAUUAACUGACGCUGGAGGAGCGAAAGCAUGGGGAGCGAAUGGG
This 255-nucleotide ribosomal RNA is filed under the name uncultured bacterium. RNAcentral describes it as "partial 16S ribosomal RNA". It matches the Rfam family "Bacterial small subunit ribosomal RNA", at positions 524 to 776 of the family's 1533-position model. The record is from RNAcentral.